AGUGCGGCGCGACUCGCAGGUGUGAUUCAUCAUCAGCGUUGUGGUGGGUUGUGAAUUCACGUGAAACUAGUGAAGGAGUGUUUGCAAGGUCAAGGUGAUGGUCACGAAGACACUGGUUUAUCUUAUCUGUCGAGGCAAGUUAUUUUAUCGGAUUGUUUUCUGUGUCCGAACCUUCUUGUCGACAGGGAGAUAAAUCACUGGUUUUUAGUGAUCGGUCUACAAGGAUACUGUUUCGUGAAUCUGUGAAACAUUGUCGUGAAAUUUCACCAACGAACAGUGACCGUGAUGAACAAAGAGUGAGUUGCUAUAGUGAAGUAACAAUAUGAAUGGUUGUGAAAUGGGCCUACUUCGACUGAAGCUAGAUGAUUACGCUAAUAAACCAUUCAUGUUAUGAAUCAGUCACACAAAGGUUGUGAAUGAUUCACACCAAUUUUCUCCGAAUACAGCCAUCCACAAUUAGUGACCGUUAGCGGUAUGAAUCAUCAUCUUUGCGCAAACAUUCCGCACACUACUUAUCGGAUUGUCGAAUGUUUGAUUGGCGGGGAUUUUCCUCGGGCGUGGAACAGGAUAGUGAAACAACUGCCAUAGCCAACUCUGUUAUCUUACGAUUUAAUACAUAUUUUGUGACAAACAACAAGCCGUCGUAGGUUUGCACAGGAGCGGAGGCGACGAAGCAGCUUACGGAACUGGUGCCCACUAGCAACCACCCACAUCCAUCCAUCAUCCGAUGCUUCAGUGUGUAUAUGGAUUGAAUUGGAAAGCAAACAUCAACACUCAAUACCAGUGAAUACUCUCGUUUGUUUUCUCCGAAUUGCAUCAUUCAGGACCGAUUAUUACAGUCACGCGCGAAUGACGUCAAUCCUGCUUCUGUGAGCCAUCAAGCCAGUACAAGGAACUUUCCAGUGGAGUUGGGGAUUCCCACACACUACGUGCUCUUUGUGGCUCUAUGUAAAACGAUUGGAUUUGUUCUUCUCCCAAAUUAUAACCUUGAUAUUAGUCGAUGACUCCGAAAACAAUCUCUUUCCACGUGCGAUCAACAGUUGACACGGGCGGAAAUUCCACUGACCUCUUUAUUUGUGGUAUUUCCGGAAUGUGGCGACCAUCAGCUUCAAGUAUCUUUGUCCAAUUAUAGAACUAAUUUUCUCGGAAAUCGUUCAAUAUAAACAAUACACUGAUGGUUGGCUCUUUUGCGUCAGUCCAAACGCAGUUCCCCCGUCGAUCCUAAACCGGUGCAAAAUUUGGUCACGUUAAUAAUGACCGUGUGGUUUUUUUUCUAACGAUAAAAAAACCCAGUGCCACCCCGACGAAGAGUGUAGCAAUAGCGAAAAAGUAAUAAAAACAUGCGAAAACAACAAACACAGCAGGCAUGAACACGUUUCCAGUUUGCAAGUCAUUCCUCAAAGGAAAAAUUUUGAGACCCUCCCCACCGCUAACAACGGCGGCGGCGACGACGACGACGAUGACGUGUUUAACCAUCGCGGAGAAAUUAGUCAUUAGUAUGAGUGAGUUCGCGAAACCGCCGGCAGGUUGAAAUGACAGCAGUAGUGUGUCUGUAGGAAUACACAGCUGCACUUCUCGCGCACUUUCUCACGUCUGUGAUUCAUUGUGAUGAAUGAACGCACCCCCUCUCAAACGACGCAGAUUGGGCGAUGAAUGAACCGGCGGAAACGAACCUAAUUCCAUGGUAAUCUACGAUGAAUCAUCGAUAAGUCUGAUUCACCUGCUUGUUCGUCGCCAUCGUCAUCACCACCAUCGUCAUCAUGAACGGCGCCUGCUGGAAACACAAGAAAAACUUAGCAAUCCAUGACGGAAAGUCUGCACUAAUGACUAUGUGAACCCCAAUAAACUCCGACAAAUAAAUUAACUACAGCUCAGCAAUCGUUCAUUUAAAGUUAAGCGUGUAUUUUUGUCAAUAUAUUGGAAAUAGGCAAACAGCAUUGCAUUGGAAAGAUAAGUUCGCCGUUUAGACAAUUGAUGUCUCUUGGAUCUAUCAGCAUUCUUAUUUGGCAUACUUCUCGACAAACAUAUGAUUAAGGCUUAAAAGCCAACUGUCAAAAUUCUCUUUGAAAGGAAAUUCCGGAAAACCGUUACUCGCUAAUCACAGAGCUUGAUAGUAAACAAAAGAGAAAAGUUUUCUCUUCCAUUAACUGCUAUGAACUGUGUUUAGCCAGCAACGGUUUGUGCGUAAUUUUCUUUCAAAGAGAAUUUUGACAGUUGGCUUUUAAGCCGUAAUCAUAUGUUUGUUGAGUAUUCGACUAUUGAUCCUCCGCAGACCAGGAAGGGGUCGGAUACGACAUCAUGUUUAUCGAUAGCAGGCUACCGCAUGUAUGGGAAUCUCAUCUGGUCUGCGAAGGGUUAAAGUUCUAACGGGACAGCCUAUGUUAACAGAAAAUAUUAAUCGAUUGUGCUGUGUUUCCUAUUUCCAGUUCCGUGUAAAAGUAUUUCAGUGAAACAGCAUGAGGCUUGAGGAAGAAGACAGGUAGUGUCCUGGAAAAUGGCUUUAUGGUGUUCGAAAGAAUAUCCGCAACAUCAUAAGCGUGUUGAUAACUAAAGGUCGUUCCUGCAAUGAUAGCGUCAUUAAUGUGCACUGCACAUAAAAUACGAGAAAGAGGAGUUAUAUGUGGAGCUGGAGCGUGUGCGCCUCGAUAGUUUGACAGAUGGAUGGUGACGUCGUAUAUAUGAUCAUUCCAAAGGAAGACGACGAAGAGUGAAGCGUGCCAAUUGGCGUUUUGAUUUUCUGGAUACCAUUUUUGGGAACCAUACAGCUGAUGCAUAUUCAAGACCUGAACUAACUCACCGUCAAAUGCAGCCAUCCGUUAAAAAAUAUGUGAGGCAGAAUAAGAAGCUAAAGGAGAUGAAAGAUAAGAUUACCAGAAACAAAAUAAAAGAAAACAUCUAUUCGAGAGUCCUGUCUCAGCUCAAAGCUGAAGCGAAAAGAUGCACAAUAGACCGAUUUCAAACACUGAAUAUUUGUAAUACAUUUUGUUUAACGAAACCAAGAGCUUUCCGCAAUGUGUUCCUUAAACGAUAAGGCAUAAUCGUACGAAAAAUGUGAAUAUUGUCUAGAAAAACAUAACUGAACAAUUUGACACAUUAAGGAAAUACCAUUCGAUAGGAGGAAAGACACCAGAUAUCAAGACUAUUAAGCUGUAUUUGGAGAAGUUACUGAUCUGUAAUACAUUUGAUGAAGUGAAAUAAUUGGAAGUAAAUGGUAUA
Molecule: long non-coding RNA, 3216 nt
Organism: Topomyia yanbarensis
Lineage: Eukaryota; Metazoa; Arthropoda; Insecta; Diptera; Culicidae
Exons: 3
Source: RefSeq, a predicted model, not a curated record